This 66-nucleotide transfer RNA is filed under the name Nephotettix parvus. RNAcentral describes it as "tRNA-Pro". The record is from RNAcentral. Lineage: Eukaryota; Metazoa; Arthropoda; Insecta; Hemiptera; Cicadellidae.
CAACAAAUAUUUUAAUAAAAAUAUUAGUUUUGGGUAUUAAAGAUAUGGAUUUUUCUAUUUUGUUGA